CAUUGUGGUCCAGUGGUUAGGAUAUCUGGCUUUCACCCAGGAGACCCAGCUUCCAUUCUUCUGGCAAUG
Non-coding RNA from Gossypium hirsutum (cotton), 69 nucleotides. The record is from Rfam. Lineage: Eukaryota; Viridiplantae; Streptophyta; Magnoliopsida; Malvales; Malvaceae.